UAUACAAAGGUAUUGAAAUAAGAUUUUAAAUGAGUGCUAWGAGARUGAUUAAACAAUUAAAAGCUUUCUUUAAUUGAAUAAUUGAAUUUAAUUUUUUUAGUGCAAAAGCAAAAAUAAAAAUUAGGGACAAGAAGACCCUAUGAAUUUUUUAUUAAAUUUUAUAAAACUUUAUAUAAAAUUUAAUUUAAUUGGGGUGAUGGAAAAAGAAUAAAUAUCUUUUUWUAAAAGAAAAUUGGYUCCGUUCUUAGCGAUUAAAUGAAAAAAAUACUCUAGGGAUAAC
Molecule: ribosomal RNA, 280 nt
Filed under: Ixodes ricinus (castor bean tick)
Lineage: Eukaryota; Metazoa; Arthropoda; Arachnida; Ixodida; Ixodidae
Description: partial large subunit ribosomal RNA
Source: RNAcentral